AUUGAACGCUGGCGGCAUGCCUUACACAUGCAAGUCGAACGGCAGCACGGGAGCAAUCCUGGUGGCGAGUGGCGAACGGGUGAGUAAUGUAUCGGAACGUACCUUUCAGUGGGGGAUAACGUAGCGAAAGUUACGCUAAUACCGCAUAUUCUGUGAGCAGGAAAGACAGGGGAUCGCAAGACCUUGCGCUGAUUGAGCGGCCGAUAUCAGAUUAGCUAGUUGGUGAGGUAAAGGCUCACCAAGGCGACGAUCUGUAGCGGGUCUGAGAGGAUGAUCCGCCACACUGGAACUGAGACACGGUCCAGACUCCUACGGGAGGCAGCAGUGGGGAAUUUUGGACAAUGGGCGCAAGCCUGAUCCAGCCAUGCCGCGUGAGUGAAGAAGGCC
This 387-nucleotide ribosomal RNA is filed under the name uncultured bacterium. RNAcentral's name for it is "bacterial SSU rRNA". It matches the Rfam family "Bacterial small subunit ribosomal RNA", at positions 30 to 416 of the family's 1533-position model. The record is from RNAcentral.